This 69-nucleotide transfer RNA is filed under the name Meretrix lyrata. RNAcentral describes it as "tRNA-Ser". Lineage: Eukaryota; Metazoa; Mollusca; Bivalvia; Venerida; Veneridae. The record is from RNAcentral.
GGAAAAGUGGGGGUCAUAAAAAGAUUUCUAAUUUUUUUUAUAGGCAGUUCAACUCUGUUUACUUUUUUG